CACGUAGGGCGCGAGCGUUGUCCGGAAUUAUUGGGCGUAAAGAGCUCGUAGGCGGCCUGUUGCGUCCGCUGUGAAAGCCCGGGGCUUAACCCCGGGUCGGCAGUGGAUACGGGCAGGCUAGAGGUAGGUAGGGGAGAAUGGAAUUCCUGGUGUAGCGGUGGAAUGCGCAGAUAUCAGGAGGAACACCGGUGGCGAAGGCGGGUCUCUGGGCCGAUACUGACACUGAGAAGCGAAAGCGUGGGGAGCGAACAGG
RNAcentral lists this ribosomal RNA (253 nucleotides) under uncultured bacterium. RNAcentral describes it as "partial 16S ribosomal RNA". It matches the Rfam family "Bacterial small subunit ribosomal RNA", at positions 524 to 776 of the family's 1533-position model. The record is from RNAcentral.